GACGAACGCUGGCGGCGUGCUUAACACAUGCAAGUCGAACGGGCCCGCUCUCUUUUUUGGGGGUGGGUUGAGUGGCGAACGGGUGAGUAUCACGUGAGUAACCUGCCCCCUGCUCCUGGAUAACUGCUUGAAAGGGCGGCUAAUACGGGGUGUGCCGGCUGGUCCGCAUGGGCCUGGUCGGGAUAGUUUCAUCUUCGGGUGUUUCGGUGGGGGAUGGGCUCGCGGCCUAUCAGCUUGUUGGUGGGGUGAUGGCCCACCAAGGCGGUGACGGGUAGCCGGCCUGAGAGGGUGGGCGGCCACACUGGGACUGAGACACGGCCCAGACUACUGCGGGAGGCAGCAGUGGGGGGUAUUGCACAAUGGGCGGAAGCCUGAUGCAGCGACGUCGCGUGAGGGAUGGAGGCCUUCGGGUGGUGAACCUCUUUCUCCGGUGGUGAAGGCCCUGUCCGUUGCGGCGGGGUUGACGGUAGCCGGGUAUGAAGCGCCGGCUAACUACGUG
This 499-nucleotide ribosomal RNA is filed under the name uncultured bacterium. RNAcentral describes it as "partial 16S ribosomal RNA". It matches the Rfam family "Bacterial small subunit ribosomal RNA", at positions 28 to 507 of the family's 1533-position model. The record is from RNAcentral.